RNAcentral lists this ribosomal RNA (253 nucleotides) under uncultured bacterium. RNAcentral describes it as "partial 16S ribosomal RNA". It matches the Rfam family "Bacterial small subunit ribosomal RNA", at positions 524 to 776 of the family's 1533-position model. The record is from RNAcentral.
GACGAACCGUGCGAACGUUAUUCGGAAUCACUGGGCUUAAAGGGCGCGUAGGCGGAUUUGCAAGUCUGUGGUGAAAUCCUCCAGCUUAACUGGAGAAGUGCCAUGGAUACUGCGAGUCUCGAGGAAGGUAGGGGCAUCUGGAACUGCCGGUGGAGCGGUGAAAUGCGUUGAUAUCGGCAGGAACUCCGGUGGCGAAGGCGGCAUACUGGACCACCACUGACGCUGAUGCGCGAAAGCCAGGGGAGCAAACGGG